This 2485-nucleotide long non-coding RNA is filed under the name Gallus gallus (chicken). Its description in RNAcentral is "lncRNA (ENSGALG00010027669.1)". The record is from RNAcentral. Lineage: Eukaryota; Metazoa; Chordata; Aves; Galliformes; Phasianidae.
AGAGCUCUAAUUUGCUUGGACAACUUGACAGCCUAUUUGAGAAGAAUUGAAAGAAAUAGAUUUUUAUGUCCUAAAAUGUCCUAAGCACCCAAACAAGAGAAAAAUGUACCAUGCUUCCGCAGACAUUAAAUCUCUGUUAAGGAUGAAGAGUGAACUGCAGAGCUGGUGUCACAUCAGAAGAGCAUGAAGGCAAACACAGACUCAAGCAUCCUUGUCUCUGGGCUCUGCCGCAGUUCUGCAAGUCGUAGCUGUUCUGCUGCUUGUGCUCAGCUGCUCCUCACAGAGGUAUGGUCUCAGUCACCCAUUUCCUGACUGACCAGAAAACAGAGAAAUCUCUCAGAAGAAAUAUUUUCUAAUGUAUUUCCAGUAAAGAUGAAGUGCUUUGGCCAGUGCCUGUAGUCUGAUCUAGGCCAAUGACUUUAAUUCUUGGAAAAAGCAGGAAAAGAAGAGAGGCUGAAUCCAUUGAGACAAACUUUAUAGCUGCAUACUUAUUUUUCCUAUUCUCCAUAAUAGCUUUCAAUCACUUUUUUUUUGUGUCAAAACUUUUUGCUUUUACAGAUUUAUUGAAAACUUCAUUAUUGACUGCAGUGUUCUGCCAUUAGUUCUUCAAAAUUGCACGUAGUUCAGACCCUAUUCAUUGCUUCAUACCAUUACAGCAUGUAUGUGGGUGUAUUUCUCAAUCUGGGUCUAAGAAUACCAGGAACCAUUUGCUUAUUGCUUAAGAUAAUAUUCAAAUAUGAAGGUUUUUUUGUAUAGCAUUUGCAAUUGUUUUUCUCAGAAAUGUUCACUAACAGUUUUCAUCCUUUCACCUGAAAUUAUUUAUGGGCUGCUAUCCAGCUAUCCAGAGGUCCUUUUACCUCCAAAAAUACCCUGCUUGUGCCAUUUAUCAGUUGAAUGGUUGAUGUCUCCAGUGACCAUAGUGUCAGGCAUAUAGUUUCUUCAGUGACUUUGACUUAAAACCAUUCCAUACAUCUUCAUGUCUGAUAUAACUCAGCAUAGGAGUAAAAUUAGAAAAAUACAUUAAUAGUGAUGCGUAUUUGGAUAUUGAGAGUAGAAAGAAAUAAUGGAAGAAAUGUAACGCCUUCUGCAUUAUGAAACAUGUUUGUUGCUCAUAAGUCAUUGAAUUUGUGUUGAGAUUUCAAUCUUUCCUAAUCACAGGAAGGAGUGGGCUCUCCAAGUCCAAGACAGAACAAUGAUGCUCCUUUUAGCUCAAACUUUUACCAAAUAUCAUAUAAAAUAAUAGCUGUAUAGCAGUCUCAAUUCACAUUUUAAGGAUUCCUGUCUUAGAAUGAAACAUCUCUUGGAAUAUAUAGAAAAUACAAUUGUUAUUAUUAUUAUUAAAUCAAGAUUUAAAUCUCUAUUAAGUCAUGCUUGAUCAGCCUGAUAAGCUUCUAUGAUGACAUGACCAGCCUAAUGUAUGAGAGGAAACCAAUGGUUGUUGUCUUCCUAAAUGGUAAAUCCUAAAGUCUUCCUAAAAGACAAUAUUUUAGACUGUUUUUUUUCCCUACUGGUUGUCUGCAUUUUUUUCAUACAGACCAGUACACAGAUUUGCAUGGAAUAUUCUCAGCAGGGUUUCAGCCACGCCAUGCACGGUGUCAUUAAAACUACUCAGUCUCUGAAGGAAGUACACAGCAUCUGGAAAUCCUACCACUAUCUUUCAUUUUUGAUAGGUGCACCAUAACAACAGGUCAAAGUCAGUCUGGCUGAAUUAGCUGAUCACAGAAUUCUUUUUAUUUUAGUGCAAAGAAGAGAUGAGCAGCAACAGCCAGUGAGCUAGUUUGUGUUACCUGUAUUAUGCGCAUACAGCAUGCAUUCAGCUCUUCUCCUAGAUAUACCACUUCAGCAUUGCAAAAAGCACUUAAAAACCUGAGGAUCACUGCAACCUACAUGUAGUAUAUAUAUACACACUGUACAUUAUAUAUAUGUAUAUUAUGUAUGUAUACAGUACAAACUGUUAUUGUUAGACCCAAAAACUAAUUAGUCAUUGCUUCCCGAAGCGUUAUGUGAAAAGUCUCUAGAAAUAAUGGGCUGCAUUUUCAAAUUUUAUAGGUUUACUGAGUCUAGUGUUCUCUGGUAUUUCCUGCUGCCCUUACAAGGGAAGACUGAAUCAAGUUUACAAGUCAUUUUGAAUAACACACAACCUUUCAAUGAAGUCAAUAAUUUGUAGAUUUAUAAACUCUACCCAUGAGAAAAAGACAAGGGUAGAAAGUAAAGGGAAUAGCAAGACCUUUUGCUGUUGUUUUUAAAACUAAAAUACCAAGUAUCUUAAACCUCCCAGCACAAUAUGAUUUUCUAUGUCUGUGAGGUUAGGUGAUGCACUUCUAUUUUUACGGUGAAUAUAUCUGAGUUUGACAGCAGCAAAGGAUAAGGAUUCCAAUUGAAAAUAAAUAUAUAUUUAAAUAUACGUAAGUCUAAAAUACUAUUUUUAAAUGUUAAUGCACACAUAUAGCAUUUGAAGGUUGCUAAUAAUGUGGACAGCUUUCUG